GUUGUAAUAUUGGUUUGUAGGCAGCCAUCUCAGGUCAUUUUGCCUGGUCGUGUGCUUUCAGAAAGAGCCAGCACUGCAGGGUGGAAUUGCUUUCAGUUGGCAGAGAACAUUGGGCUGCUUGUGUUUGAGGCAGAUCUGUCCAAACGAAGAUACUGGGGCUGCAGCUUUGAUGACAAAGUGACCAUCGUCCCUGUGUGUCUGCAGUUUGUUAUUUGCACUGUCCCUGAUAAGCAGUCACUCUUCUCCCAGCUGAGCUUUUCCUUUUCCUGCCAGAGAAUCCCUGCAGCUGCUGCAGAAUAACAUUCAUUUCCUUCCUGAAGAAGAGUCUGGUGCUACUGGACUCCCCAGUUCAGGGAUGAGAGGGAAGAAGAGAGCAGACAGUGCCUAAGCCAAGAGUUGGCACGCACCCAACGACUAAUGCACUGGCACAGAGAUGAAAGGAACAGAGAGGCAGGACACAUGCACACACAAAGGCAAAGGCCAAUAAAAUGUGCACUAUUGUCAAGGACAAGUCAUUUUAAUUUUUUUGGAUGCUGGUAGUAAUUUCACAGCUGAUUAAAACCCUGAAUACUGUAUAUGUCACUGUGAUCCAGUACAGUGAAUUGGUCAGAAUCAGACCUAGUAGGGAAGGUGUGCUUCUCUUCAACCCAAACAUCAACCAAUCAUCAUCAUGAAUUACAUCACUAUGUCUGUGUAGCAUUGUACAAUAAAACACAAUAAUAGAAUAAAAAUGUAUUUACAGACAA
Long non-coding RNA from Xenopus laevis (African clawed frog), 746 nucleotides. RefSeq lists it as uncharacterized. Lineage: Eukaryota; Metazoa; Chordata; Amphibia; Anura; Pipidae. The record is from RefSeq and is a predicted model, not a curated record. The transcript is spliced from 2 exons.